Molecule: unclassified non-coding RNA, 377 nt
Filed under: uncultured Solirubrobacterales bacterium
Lineage: Bacteria; Bacillati; Actinomycetota; Thermoleophilia; Solirubrobacterales
Description: contains 16S-23S intergenic spacer region
Source: RNAcentral
UCCGGUUUGCUACCGGCAGUCUCGCAUGAGUCCCCGGCCGAACCGCUGGCAACAUGCGACGGGGGUUGCGCUCGUUGCGGGACUUAACCCAACAUCUCACGACACGAGCUGACGACAGCCAUGCACCACCUGUGACGGCGCCCCGAAGGGAAGACGUGUUUCCACGCCGGUCGCCGACAUGUCAAGCCCAGGUAAGGUUCUUCGCGUUGCAUCGAAUUAAACCACAUGCUCCGCUGCUUGUGCGGGUCCCCGUCAAUUCCUUUGAGUUUUAGCCUUGCGGCCGUACUCCCCAGGCGGAGAACUUAAUGCGUUAGCGACGGCACGGGAGGAGUCGACACCUCCCACACCUAGUGCCCAUCGUUUACAGCGUGGACUAC